This 234-nucleotide long non-coding RNA is filed under the name Lathyrus oleraceus (garden pea). RNAcentral's name for it is "Pisum sativum (pea) long non-coding RNA (PSAT_LNC009930)". Lineage: Eukaryota; Viridiplantae; Streptophyta; Magnoliopsida; Fabales; Fabaceae. The record is from RNAcentral.
ACUAUUUAGAUCGCAUCCUAAAGGCUAAACGUUGGCUUGUCUACUCUCGGCGGAGGCUUAAGCGUUAAUUUGUUGUGCGCAUUAGAAAAGAUUAAAUAGUGUUCUUUUUGAAAAGAGUUUUGAUCACACGAGGGUGACAAGUUGGAUUAAUAUGUUGGAUAUUUUGUUUGACUGGUUUCGAUCGCACGAGGGCGAGAAAGGAUAAACUUGGUAGGUUAAGAUAUUUUUGGUUGG